GACGAACGCUGGCGGCGUGCUUAACACAUGCAAGUCGAGCGAUGUAGUUUCUUCGGAAAUGGAUUAGCGGCGAACGGGUGAGGAACACGUGAAGAAUCUGCCCUCCACUUUGGGAUAACACAGGGAAACCUGUGCUAAUACCGAAUAUUGAAACAUAAGCGGCAUCACUGAGUUUUGAAAGAAUUUCGGUGGAGGAUGACUUCGCGGCCUAUCAGCUAGUUGGUGAGGUAAUGGCUCACCAAGGCAACGACGGGUAGCCGGCCUGAGAGGGCGACCGGCCACACUGGGACUGAGACACGGCCCAGACUCCUACGGGAGGCAGCAGUGGGGAAUAUUGGGCAAUGGAGGAAACUCUGACCCAGCGACGCCGCGUGCGGGAUGAAGGCCUUCGGGUUGUAAACCGCUUUCAGUAGGGAAGAAGCGAAAGUGACGGUACCUACAAAAGAAGCACCGGCUAACUAUGUGCCAGCCGCCGCGGUAA
RNAcentral lists this ribosomal RNA (481 nucleotides) under uncultured bacterium. RNAcentral's name for it is "partial 16S ribosomal RNA". It matches the Rfam family "Bacterial small subunit ribosomal RNA", at positions 28 to 523 of the family's 1533-position model. The record is from RNAcentral.